RNAcentral lists this ribosomal RNA (560 nucleotides) under uncultured Verrucomicrobiota bacterium. Its description in RNAcentral is "bacterial SSU rRNA". It matches the Rfam family "Bacterial small subunit ribosomal RNA", at positions 470 to 1027 of the family's 1533-position model. The record is from RNAcentral. Lineage: Bacteria; Pseudomonadati; Verrucomicrobiota.
UGAUAGUAUCAGAAGAGGAAGGGACGGCUAACUCUGUGCCAGCAGCCGCGGUAAUACAGAGGUCCCAAGCGUUGUUCGGAUUCAUUGGGCGUAAAGGGUGCGUAGGUGGCGCCGUAAGUCGGGUGUGAAAUUUCGGAGCUUAACUCCGAAACUGCAUUCGAUACUGCGGUGCUUGAGGACUGGAGAGGAGACUGGAAUUCAUGGUGUAGCAGUGAAAUGCGUAGAGAUCAUGAGGAAGACCAGUGGCGAAGGCGGGUCUCUGGACAGUUCCUGACACUGAGGCACGAAGGCCAGGGGAACAAACGGGAUUAGAUACCCCGGUAGUCCUGGCAGUAAACGGUGCACGUUUGGUGUGGGAGGAUUCGACCCCUUCCGCGCCGGAGCUAACGCGUUAAACGUGCCGCCUGGGGAGUACGGUCGCAAGAUUAAAACUCAAAGAAAUUGACGGGGGCCCGCACAAGCGGUGGAGUAUGUGGCUUAAUUCGAUGCAACGCGAAGAACCUUACUAGGCCUUGACAUGCAUUUCUAAGUUGGUAAAGCCAGCGAAUGUCGAAAGACAU